RNAcentral lists this ribosomal RNA (494 nucleotides) under uncultured bacterium. RNAcentral describes it as "partial 16S ribosomal RNA". It matches the Rfam family "Bacterial small subunit ribosomal RNA", at positions 28 to 507 of the family's 1533-position model. The record is from RNAcentral.
GACGAACGCUGGCGGCGUGCCUAAUACAUGCAAGUAGAACGCUGAAGGAGGAGCUUGCUUCUCUGGAUGAGUUGCGAACGGGUGAGUAACGCGUAGGUAACCUGCCUGGUAGCGGGGGAUAACUAUUGGAAACGAUAGCUAAUACCGCAUAAUAGCAGUUAUUGCAUGAUAACUGUUUGAAAGGUGCAAUUGCACCACUACCAGAUGGACCUGCGUUGUAUUAGCUAGUUGGUGGGGUAACGGCUCACCAAGGCGACGAUACAUAGCCGACCUGAGAGGGUGAUCGGCCACACUGGAACUGAGACACGGCCCAGACUCCUACGGGAGGCAGCAGUAGGGAAUCUUCGGCAAUGGACGGAAGUCUGACCGAGCAACGCCGCGUGAGUGAAGAAGGUUUUCGGAUCGUAAAGCUCUGUUGUAGAGAAGAACGAGUGUGAGAGUGGAAAGUUCACACUGUGACGGUAUCUUACCAGAAAGGGACGGCUAACUACGUG